Molecule: non-coding RNA, 69 nt
Organism: Podarcis lilfordi (Lilford's wall lizard)
Lineage: Eukaryota; Metazoa; Chordata; Lepidosauria; Squamata; Lacertidae
Source: the annotation of a GenBank genome assembly
GCCAUAGCUCUGUGGUGGAGCGCCUGCUUUGCAAACAGAAGGUCCCAGAUUCAUUCCCUGGCAUCUGCA